UCCUGGCUCAGGAUGAACGCGGCGGCGUGCCUAAUACAUGCAAGUCGAACAGGUGCUUUGUAGCAAUACGAAGUAUCCUAGUGGCGAACGGGUGAGUAACGCGUUGGUGACCUACCCCAAAGUGUGGGAUAACAGUCCGAAAGGAUUGCUAAUACCGCAUGUGGUCUCUGGGUUUAGAAACCGGUGACUAAAGGAGCAAUUCGCUUUGGGAGGGACCUGCGUCCCAUCACUAGUUGGUGAGGUAACGGCUCACCAAGGGACGACGGGUAGGGGACCUGAGAGGGUGGCCCCCCACAAUGGAACUGAAACACGGUCCAUACACCUACGGGUGGCAGCAGUAGGGAAUAUUGGUCAAUGGGCGAAAGCCUGAACCAGCAACGCCGCGUGUGCGAUGAAGGCUUCGGGUCGUAAAGCAUUUUUCUGGGCAGAUGAUAAAGGACAGUAUCCCAGGAAAUAAUCAUCGGCUAACUAAUGC
Molecule: ribosomal RNA, 475 nt
Filed under: uncultured bacterium
Lineage: Bacteria
Description: bacterial SSU rRNA
Rfam family: Bacterial small subunit ribosomal RNA
Source: RNAcentral